UGGGGAAUUUUGGACAAUGGGCGAAAGCCUGAUCCAGCCAUGCCGCGUGAGUGAAGAAGGCCUUCGGGUUGUAAAGCUCUUUUAGUCGGAAAGAAAGAGUUGCAAUGAAUAAUUGUGAUUUAUGACGGUACCGACAGAAAAAGCACCGGCUAACUACGUGCCAGCAGCCGCGGUAAUACGUAGGGUGCGAGCGUUAAUCGGAAUUACUGGGCGUAAAGGGUGCGCAGGCGGUCUUGCAAGUCAGAUGUGAAAGCCCCGGGCUUAACCUGGGAAUUGCGUUUGAAACUACAAGACUAGAGUGCAGCAGAGGGGAGUGGAAUUCCAUGUGUAGCAGUGAAAUGCGUAGAGAUGUGGAAGAACACCGAUGGCGAAGGCAGCUCCCUGGGUUGACACUGACGCUCAUGCACGAAAGCGUGGGGAUCAAACA
This 427-nucleotide ribosomal RNA is filed under the name uncultured beta proteobacterium. Its description in RNAcentral is "bacterial SSU rRNA". It matches the Rfam family "Bacterial small subunit ribosomal RNA", at positions 355 to 774 of the family's 1533-position model. Lineage: Bacteria; Pseudomonadati; Pseudomonadota; Betaproteobacteria. The record is from RNAcentral.